CUUAUAGGCAAUUUGGGUCUCCUCCAUGUGGGAUUUUGUUUUGGAUUCAUUUUGUCCAUGUGAUUGUUUUGGGAAAACCGAUUUAAAUAAAACCAAUAUGUCACAAACAUGCACCUAUUAGUUUACUGCAAAAUACAGGGUUGGGUCAAAUUUCAUGGUAUUUCAUGGCAUUUGACACGUAAAAUUUUUGUUGCAGGUACAUAUUAUAACGGGGUCUUGGGAGAUUCAUCAUGGGUAAUUUCAUGAAGGAACAAUGAUCAAAAAUAAUGGAAUUUUUUUUUCAAAAUUGAGACAACUGUUCAGGAAGUGGUUAAUUGAAAGAAACUCCCAGAUUAUUGACAGAUUAACAUUCCCCGAUCUUUCAGCUCACAAUUGCUUCAUGUGGGGAUAUCUGUAGGUGUGUGUGUACAUGAACAAACUGCGUACACUUGAGAAACUCAGGGAAAUUAUCGAGGCAGAAAUUUAAGCGCUAGAGCC
Molecule: non-coding RNA, 477 nt
Organism: Pelobates cultripes (western spadefoot toad)
Lineage: Eukaryota; Metazoa; Chordata; Amphibia; Anura; Pelobatidae
Source: the annotation of a GenBank genome assembly